This 1421-nucleotide long non-coding RNA is filed under the name Carica papaya (papaya). RNAcentral's name for it is "long non-coding RNA (CPAP_LNC002134)". The record is from RNAcentral. Lineage: Eukaryota; Viridiplantae; Streptophyta; Magnoliopsida; Brassicales; Caricaceae.
GGCAUCCCUGAUUUAUCCUUUCUCCGGUUGUUGUCUUCAAUAAAGAAAGAGAAAAAGAAAACCCACAAGAGUAAAUAAUUAAUAGACCUCUUCUGAAAUAUAGAAAACCCAGAAUUCAGAAACCCAGAAUCUUAAAAUUCUGAAAAUUAACAGGAGUCCAACUUCUAGUUGGAAUAUAUGCAUAUAUAUACACACACACAUACAUAUUACGUGUAUGUAUAUAUGCGUAUGUUUUUACAAGUCCAUAUAUAUAUAUAUAUAUAUAAAGGGAGAGGGCACCUGAAACUGUGAGUGUCCAAAAGAGAGUAGCAGGGGGAAGACUAUGAUGAGCAGAUGCACGUGUACACCAUCAACAGGAAAGAAGAAACACAAGAUAAAGGAAGAGGGAUUUUCUCCGCGGGUCAACACAGACUCACCUGAAAACCAGACGCCUCCUCCGACCCAGCGACUCCCCCCAGUGACAAUAUAUGUAUAUAUAUAUAUAUAUAUAUAGGUUACUACUUCAUGUUUUUACUUUCUUUUCAGCAAAUAUAUAUAUAUACACACACACACACACAUACACACAUAGUUUGGAACUCUGUAUUGUGUAUUAGAAAGUAGGUUAAUCAUUCAAGAUUGCAAUGAUUGAAAAUCUCGUAAAAAAGAAAAGGGAAAAUACAAUCAGGAGCCUCCUACAUAAGAAUUAAAUAUAAGCGAAUUAUAAAAUUAAAUCAGUUUUUUUUUUUUUUUUUUUUUUCAAAUAAAAAAGCUUCAUCUUCAAUAAUCGCGUCCAAUGAAAAAUUAGUAUGGUAUCAGUAAUUCUUACCCUUCCCUUGCAUAAAAUAUUCUGCUUGUCUCCACAUCCCCAAACAAAGUUACCUAGCUUCUAAAAGCAAACAGUGGUAGGAACAAAACCAGUCUACCAUGGAGAGCAACAAGACAACUCAAAUGAAGAAACUUAAUAACUAUAACAAAAUAUUUUACAUAUAUAAAUAUAUAUAUGAUGAAUGAUUUUAUAACAAUAUAUAUAAUACUAAGUGGUCAAUUUAUUCCACACUGUAAAUAUACUAGUAACUAAUGCAUCCAUAUAUCUACAUAUAUAUAUAUAUAUAUACACACACACACAAACAUUAAUGAACGAGCACAUAGAAUAAUAUUUUGGUUGAUUAACUCUCUUUUAUCGAAAGACUAGUUUCUUGUCCUUGUAUAUAUUCUACACUCAUUAUAUAUGUUUAUGUAUAUAUACAUGCACCGUAUAUAGAAUAUGGACAUACAAACAUAUAUAUAUGUGUGUAUUUGACUAGAGUAAUUACCCAGGCAAAGACAAUUAACAAUAAAACCCAAUACAUCAUGCAUCGAACAUUUUCUUCCUAGCGUUUCCACUAGCUACUUAAUUAGUUUGCUUGAUAAAAAUACAGACAUUACUAGAUAUAUAUAUAUAU